CACGUAGGGUGCGAGCGUUGUCCGGAAUUAUUGGGCGUAAAGAGCUCGUAGGCGGUCUGUCGCGUCGGAUGUGAAAAUCCAGGGCUCAACCCUGGACCUGCAUUCGAUACGGGCAGACUAGAGUUCGGUAGGGGAGACUGGAAUUCCUGGUGUAGCGGUGAAAUGCGCAGAUAUCAGGAGGAACACCGAUGGCGAAGGCAGGUCUCUGGGCAUUAACUGACGCUGAGGAGCGAAAGCAUGGGGAGCGAACAGG
Molecule: ribosomal RNA, 253 nt
Filed under: uncultured bacterium
Lineage: Bacteria
Description: partial 16S ribosomal RNA
Rfam family: Bacterial small subunit ribosomal RNA
Source: RNAcentral